This is a non-coding RNA of Alistipes sp. CHKCI003, 402 nucleotides long. It matches the Rfam family "transfer-messenger RNA". Rfam says of the family: Bacterial tmRNA, also known as 10Sa RNA or SsrA, is named for its dual tRNA and mRNA-like properties. The record is from Rfam. NCBI's taxonomy places the organism in Bacteria, Pseudomonadati, Bacteroidota, Bacteroidia, Bacteroidales, Rikenellaceae.
GGGGCUGACCGGUUUUGACAGCAGGCAGAGUUUGUCGGUAAGCACGCCGAGCGCUGUGUGGCGGCUCGUUAAUCCCGACGCUCAACAUUCAAAUGGCAAUAACAGCUAUGCACUCGCUGCCUAAUUUUCAAGGAAAAUUGGCUUAAUCGCGUGGCCCGAGGCGGUCGUGCGACGAGUAUCCCGAACGGCGGUUCCGCCCUUUAACCGCUGUUCAUACGGGGUAUCAUCUCUUUAGGGAUAGUCCGCCGGAGGCUUCGGCCGGCGGGCGAAACGAAGAAGCUGGGUCCCGGGCGAGGCUGCCGCCUGCCGUGAACGGGAAGAAGGAUCGAAUGGCGGCUAAGCGUGUAGAAAGCCUUCGGGCUCCCUGUUUGGACGCGGGUUCGACUCCCGCCAGCUCCACCG